RNAcentral lists this ribosomal RNA (733 nucleotides) under uncultured archaeon. RNAcentral describes it as "bacterial SSU rRNA". It matches the Rfam family "Archaeal small subunit ribosomal RNA", at positions 52 to 786 of the family's 1478-position model. The record is from RNAcentral.
UGCUAGUCGCACGGGUUCAGACCCGUGGCGAAUAGCUCCGUAACACGUGGCCAAUCUACCCUUCAGACGCGCACACCCUCGGGAAACUGAGGCUAAUUCGCGACACGACUCUCAUCCUGGAAUGGCGAGAGACCAAAACGCUCAGGCGCUGAAGGAUGAGGCUGCGGCCGAUUAGGUAGACGGUGGGGUAACGGCCCACCGUGCCAAUAAUCGGUACGGGUUGUGAGAGCAAGAACCCGGAGACGGAAUCUGAGACAAGAUUCCGGGCCCUACGGGGCGCAGCAGGCGCGAAACCUUUACACUGCACGCCAGUGCGAUAAGGGGACUCCGAGUGCGAGGGCAUAUCGCCCUCGCUUUUCUCAACCGUAGGGAGGUUGAGGAAUAAGCGCUGGGCAAGACCGGUGCCAGCCGCCGCGGUAAUACCGGCAGCGCAAGUGAUGGCCGAUCUUAUUGGGCCUAAAGCGUCCGUAGCUCGCCAGGCAAGUCCAUCGGGAAAUCCACCCGCUCAACGGGUGGACGGCCGGUGGAAACUGCCUGGCUCGAGACCGGAAGACCCAACGGGUACGUCCAGGGUAGGAGUGAAAUCCCGUAAUCCUGGACGGACCGCCGAUGGCGAAAGCACGUUGGGAAGACGGAUCUGACAGUGAGGGACGAAAGCUAGGGUCUCGAACCGGAUUAGAUACCCGGGUAGUCCUAGCUGUAAACGAUGCUCGCUAGGUGUGGCACAGGCUAC